AGAGUUUGAUCCUGGCUCAGGAUAAACGCUAGCGGCAGGCCUAACACAUGCAAGUCGAGGGGCAGCACGACGUAGCAAUACGUUGGUGGCGACCGGCGGACGGGUGCGCAUCGCGUGAGCAACCUACCUCUUUCAGGGGGAUAACCCGGCGAAAGCCGGACUAACACCGCAUGUUUUGUCGGAGGGGCAUCCCUUCGUCAACAAAUAUUUAUAGGGAAGAGAUGGGCUCGCGUCCCAUUAGCUAGUUGGUGGUGUAACGGACCACCAAGGCGACGAUGGGUAGGGGUUCUGAGAGGAUUCACCCCCACACCGGAACUGAGACACGGUCCGGACUCCUACGGGAGGCAGCAGUGAGGAAUAUUGGACAAUGGGCGAAAGCCUGAUCCAGCCAUGCCGCGUGCAGGAUGACGGCGCUAUGCGUUGUAAACUGCUUUUGUUCGGGAACAAUGGCGCCUACGCGUAGGCGUUUGAGUGUACCGUUCGAAUCAGCACCGGCUAACUCCGUGCCAGCAGCCGCGGUAAUACGGAGGGUGCAAGCGUUAUCCGGAUUCAUUGGGUUUAAAGGGUGCGUAGGCUGCUUUGUAAGUCAGUGGUGAAAUCAUCGAGCUUAACUCGAUGCCUGCCAUUGAUACUGCAGAGCUUGAGUAUAAUCGACGUGAGAGGAAUGCGACAAGUAGCGGUGAAAUGCAUAGAUAUGUCGCAGAACACCGAUAGCGAAGGCAUCUCACGAGGUUAUCACUGACGCUGAUGCACGAAAGCGUGGGUAUCAAACAGGAUUAGAUACCCUGGUAGUCCACGCUGUAAACGAUGAUAACUGGGUUUUUAUGUUUCGAUGUAAGAGCCUGAGCGAAAGCAUUAAGUUAUCCACCUGGGGAGUACGUUCGCAAGUAUGAAACUCAAAGGAAUUGACGGGGGCCCGCACAAGCGGAGGAACAUGUGGUUUAAUUCGAUGAUACGCGAGGAACCUUACCCGGGUUUAAAUGUAGAUUGCAUAAAGCAGAGAUGUUUUUUUCCUUCACGGGACUAUUUACAAGGUGCUG
This 1040-nucleotide ribosomal RNA is filed under the name termite gut metagenome. RNAcentral's name for it is "bacterial SSU rRNA". It matches the Rfam family "Bacterial small subunit ribosomal RNA", at positions 8 to 1043 of the family's 1533-position model. The record is from RNAcentral.